UACGUAGGGUGCGAGCGUUGUCCGGAAUUAUUGGGCGUAAAGAGCUCGUAGGCGGUUUGUCGCGUCGGCCGUGAAAUCUCCACGCUUAACGUGGAGCGUGCGGUCGAUACGGGCAGACUUGAGUUCGGUAGGGGAGACUGGAAUUCCUGGUGUAGCGGUGAAAUGCGCAGAUAUCAGGAGGAACACCGGUGGCGAAGGCGGGUCUCUGGGCCGAUACUGACGCUGAGGAGCGAAAGCGUGGGGAGCGAACAGGAUUAGAUACCCUGGUAGUCCACGCUGUAAACGUUGGGCGCUAGGUGUGGGCGACAUCCACGUUGUCCGUGCCGUAGCUAACGCAUUAAGCGCCCCGCCUGGGGAGUACGGCCGCAAGGCUAAA
Molecule: ribosomal RNA, 376 nt
Filed under: uncultured bacterium
Lineage: Bacteria
Description: bacterial SSU rRNA
Rfam family: Bacterial small subunit ribosomal RNA
Source: RNAcentral